This 421-nucleotide ribosomal RNA is filed under the name uncultured eukaryote. RNAcentral describes it as "SSU rRNA". It matches the Rfam family "Eukaryotic small subunit ribosomal RNA", at positions 592 to 1018 of the family's 1831-position model. The record is from RNAcentral.
CAAUAGCGUAUAUUAAAGUUGUUGCGGUUAAAAAGCUCGUAGUUGGAUUUCUGCCGAGGACGACCGGUCCGCCCUCUGGGUGAGUAUCUGGCUUGGCCUGGGCAUCUUCUUGGAGAACGUAGCUGCACUUGACUGUGUGGUGCGGUAUCCAGGACUUUUACUUUGAGGAAAUUAGAGUGUUUCAAGCAGGCAUACGCCUUGAAUACAUUAGCAUGGAAUAAUAAGAUAGGACCUCGGUUCUAUUUUGUUGGUUUCUAGAGCUGAGGUAAUGAUUAAUAGGGAUAGUUGGGGGCAUUCGUAUUUAACUGUCAGAGGUGAAAUUCUUGGAUUGCGUUACGACGAACUACUGCGAAAGCAUUUGCCAAAGAUGUUUUCAUUGAUCAAGAACGAAAGUAUGGGAUCGAAGAUGAUUAGAUACCAU